UGAAAGUGGAGUCCAGCAACCACUAAAAAAAAACGGGGCGAAAUCGAAAAGCCUGAAGAGUAGAAAACAA
Molecule: non-coding RNA, 70 nt
Organism: Flavobacterium flevense
Lineage: Bacteria; Pseudomonadati; Bacteroidota; Flavobacteriia; Flavobacteriales; Flavobacteriaceae
Source: Rfam